RNAcentral lists this ribosomal RNA (468 nucleotides) under uncultured bacterium. RNAcentral's name for it is "partial 16S ribosomal RNA". It matches the Rfam family "Bacterial small subunit ribosomal RNA", at positions 28 to 507 of the family's 1533-position model. The record is from RNAcentral.
GACGAACGCUGGCGGCGUGCUUAACACAUGCAAGUCGAACGGUGAUGCUCCAGCUUGCUGGCGUGGAUCAGUGGCGAACGGGUGAGUAACACGUGAGCAACCUGCCCCAGACUCUGGAAUAAGCGCUGGAAACGGCGUCUAAUACUGGAUACGACACUGGCCCGCAUGGGCAUGGUUUGGAAAGUUUUUCGGUUUGGGAUGGGCUCGCGGCCUAUCAGCUUGUUGGUGAGGUAAUGGCUCACCAAGGCGACGACGGGUAGCCGGCCUGAGAGGGCGACCGGCCACACUGGGACUGAGACACGGCCCAGACUCCUACGGGAGGCAGCAGUGGGGAAUAUUGCACAAUGGGCGAAAGCCUGAUGCAGCGACGCCGCGUGAGGGAUGACGGCCUUCGGGUUGUAAACCUCUUUCAGCAGGGAAGAAGCGAAAGUGACGGUACCUGCAGAAGAAGCACCGGCUAACUACGUG